This 774-nucleotide ribosomal RNA is filed under the name uncultured Neocallimastigales. Its description in RNAcentral is "partial large subunit ribosomal RNA". It matches the Rfam family "Eukaryotic large subunit ribosomal RNA", at positions 24 to 616 of the family's 3401-position model. The record is from RNAcentral. Lineage: Eukaryota; Fungi; Neocallimastigomycota; Neocallimastigomycetes; Neocallimastigales.
UAUGUGAUCGUCUCUCGCAUAUCAAUAAGCGGAGGAAAAGAAACUAACAAGGAUUCCCCUAGUAACGGCGAGUGAAGCGGGAAGAGCUCAAAUUUGAAAUCUUAAAGGGUUUCCCUUUACGAAUUGUAGUUUAAAGAAGUGUUUUCUGUUGAGGUUUUGGUAAAAGUUCUUUGGAAUAGGACAUCAUAGAGGGUGAGAACCCCGUAUUUGACCUUUACUUUCAACUUUGUGAUACACUUUCAAAGAGUCGGAUUGCUUGGGAAUGCAGUCCAAAAUGGGUGGUAAAUUUCAUCUAAAGCUAAAUAUUGGCGAGAGACCGAUAGCGAACAAGUACCGUGAGGGAAAGAUGAAAAGAACUUUGAAAAGAGAGUUAAACAGUACGUGAAAUUGUCAAAAGGGAAGCGUUUGACACCAGUGUUGUUUUUCUGAAAAUCAAUUAAAGAACUGUUUAUGCUAAGCUGUUUAGACUUUAUCAGCUAUCUGUUUAGUUUUGAGCUUUUCUUUAAUGCACUUUUCAGUUAACAAGUCAACAUCAAUUUCUUUUGCUGUAAAAAAGCUUGAGGAAGGUGGCUUGAGAUUCGUCUUAAGUGUUUAUAGCCUCUUGCCUAUGCAGUCGGAGAGAUUGAGGUCUGCAGCGUAGAUCCUUCGGGGCUAAAUGCAUUUGUGCUAAGUUAUAGCAUUUUAUAGACAACUUGUUGACUAUGAUUUGUCUUGUAGCUUACUCGCUUAUGUUAUUUUACCUACGCUUAGGAUGUUGAGCGCAUGUCUCUCUCU